Long non-coding RNA from Phyllostomus discolor (pale spear-nosed bat), 1395 nucleotides. RefSeq lists it as uncharacterized. The record is from RefSeq and is a predicted model, not a curated record. The transcript is spliced from 3 exons. NCBI's taxonomy places the organism in Eukaryota, Metazoa, Chordata, Mammalia, Chiroptera, Phyllostomidae.
AACAACACUCAACCCGCUGAGCCACACCUGUCAGGGACACAUAUGCAAUUGAGGCCAGAUCAGCUUUGAUGUCUUUCCUGAUGGAUGGGACAAGAGGUAUUGCCUGGGACAUGUGGAAAAUGACGGCUAUAAGACCAUUUAUUUCUUUGGAGACAAAACCAUGCCAGGUGGAAACGACCACGAGAUCUUCACAACCCGAGGACAGUGGGCUACACGGUGACGGCACCUGAGGACACGCAGGAUCUGUGAAGAGCUCUUCCCCUAAUGUCCCUUGCCGUGGGAGGGAGAGAGGCCCAGCUGACAAGUCUGAGAGGGUCAUUCGGUGACCAAACCCCGAUCCCUCCCUCACAUGCCCACAGGACACUUACAGCCAUCCAACCCAGGACAGAAAUUUUCAAACACUUCCUGAAAUGAAGCACCUGCGGAGUGUCAGCUUGGUGGCAGUUUUGAACCAAGGGCACCAUGGCCAUCAGGUGGUAUUAAGCUAAGUGACCAUGUGCACUGUUUCCCCACCUCACUUCCUGUUGGACAGCCACAGACCUCAGCAUGGCCUGGUUCACAGGUUGGCUCACUAGUCACUACACAGGGGGCAGCUGGUUCUCUGACCAUGGAGACGGGAGGAAAUAGGUACCGACAGGCCCCAGGGAGAACUGAACAGACGUGCAGCCUUUCCCGGCCCUUCCCCUGGGUGCAUGCUCUAAACCCAGGUUCAGAGAGACUAACUUAGGGUGUCACACCUCACCAAAAGAACCCUCUUACUGGCCUGGAUUCCCCGGGCCUUACUUAACCUCAGGUUUCUCGGGGACCCGGUGAACGCCUCACUCAUUAACAGAGCUGAAGCUGCACUGUUUCUCUGCAGAUCUUUAAAAAAAGAAGUGUGUUGACCCCGGCCCUGACCCAGCCUCUGACCUCAGGGCUGGGAGCAGCCAUGGUGGGGCCUAGGACCCUCACUCCUCCCUUCUGGGUUCUGCAAGCUCCUCCUGAAACUGGAAGGCAUCGCCAGGCCCUUGUCCCCAACAGGGUGGAAGACCGCUUUCCAUGGCAAUGGUUAACAUGUCCCUUUUUAGCAUCGGAAAUGUCAGGACCCACCAGCGCUCCACCACCUGGUGCUGGAGCCCACCAACCCGAAUCCAUGUGCUUUGCACCCCCACACCCCCAUGUUCCCACCAGGUGCUUUCAUCACAGAGGAACCUGGUUCUCCCCCAAACCCGGCCCUGGGCUUGUCAGUUCUGGAUCAGUCCACCCACCACUCCGCACCACAUGGUUGAUGUCUCUGGGCAGUUCUCAGCACAGGCCACCCCAUGGCAUCUUUCCUUGUUGAAGUAUUUUGCAAAUGAUACUGGAAUGAGCUUGCAAAUGAAAAGUAGCAAAUUAAAGUGAUUUUAUUGUUCCUAU